This 449-nucleotide ribosomal RNA is filed under the name uncultured bacterium. Its description in RNAcentral is "bacterial SSU rRNA". It matches the Rfam family "Bacterial small subunit ribosomal RNA", at positions 29 to 521 of the family's 1533-position model. The record is from RNAcentral.
AGCGAACGCUGGCGGCAGGCUUAACACAUGCAAGUCGAACGGGCGUAGCAAUACGUCAGUGGCAGACGGGUGAGUAACGCGUGGGAACGUACCUUUUGGUUCGGAACAACCCAGGGAAACUUGGGCUAAUACCGGAUAAGCCCUUACAGGGAAAGAUUUAUCGCCGAAAGAUCGGCCCGCGUCUGAUUAGCUAGUUGGUGUGGUAACGGCGCACCAAGGCGACGAUCAGUAGCUGGUCUGAGAGGAUGAUCAGCCACAUUGGGACUGAGACACGGCCCAAACUCCUACGGGAGGCAGCAGUGGGGAAUAUUGGACAAUGGGCGCAAGCCUGAUCCAGCCAUGCCGCGUGAGUGAUGAAGGCCCUAGGGUUGUAAAGCUCUUUUGUGCGGGAAGAUAAUGACGGUACCGCAAGAAUAAGCCCCGGCUAACUUCGUGCCAGCAGCCGCGGU